AUUGAACGCUGGCGGCAUGCUUUACACAUGCAAGUCGAACGGCAGCGCGGGCUUCGGCCUGGCGGCGAGUGGCGAACGGGUGAGUAAUGCAUCGGAACGUGCCCAGUAGUGGGGGAUAGCCCGGCGAAAGCCGGAUUAAUACCGCAUACGACCUGAGGGUGAAAGCGGGGGACCGAAAGGCCUCGCGCUAUUGGAGCGGCCGAUGUCGGAUUAGCUAGUUGGUGGGGUAAAGGCUUACCAAGGCGACGAUCCGUAGCUGGUCUGAGAGGACGACCAGCCACACGGGGACUGGAACCCGGCCCAGCCCCCAAGGGGGGGCAGCGUGGGGGAAUUUUGGAAAACGGGGGAAACCCUGACCCGGCCCUGCCGCGUGGGGGAAGAAGGCCUUCGGGUUUAAACCCGCUUUUGUUCGGGAAGAAAUCCCCUGGGCUAAAACCCCGGGGGGAGCAGGGUACCGAAAGAAUAAACACCGGCUAAAUACGU
Molecule: ribosomal RNA, 483 nt
Filed under: uncultured bacterium
Lineage: Bacteria
Description: partial 16S ribosomal RNA
Rfam family: Bacterial small subunit ribosomal RNA
Source: RNAcentral